Molecule: ribosomal RNA, 427 nt
Filed under: uncultured bacterium
Lineage: Bacteria
Description: partial 16S ribosomal RNA
Rfam family: Bacterial small subunit ribosomal RNA
Source: RNAcentral
UGGGGAAUAUUGGACAAUGGGCGAAAGCCUGAUCCAGCCAUGCCGCGUGUGUGAAGAAGGUCUUCGGAUUGUAAAGCACUUUAAGUUGGGAGGAAGGGCAUUAACCUAAUACGUUAGUGUUUUGACGUUACCGACAGAAUAAGCACCGGCUAACUCUGUGCCAGCAGCCGCGGUAAUACAGAGGGUGCAAGCGUUAAUCGGAAUUACUGGGCGUAAAGCGCGCGCAGGUGGUUUGUUAAGUUGGAUGUGAAAUCCCCGGGCUCAACCUGGGAACUGCAUUCAAAACUGACUGACUAGAGUAUGGUAGAGGGUGGUGGAAUUUCCUGUGUAGCGGUGAAAUGCGUAGAUAUAGGAAGGAACACCAGUGGCGAAGGCGACCACCUGGACUAAUACUGACACUGAGGUGCGAAAGCGUGGGGAGCAAACA